This is a non-coding RNA of Lingula anatina, 67 nucleotides long. The record is from Rfam. NCBI's taxonomy places the organism in Eukaryota, Metazoa, Brachiopoda, Lingulata, Lingulida, Lingulidae.
GUGGGCAUCAAGGGGGCUGUGAUGUGUAGUCUAUUGUUCAUAUCACAGCCCGCUUUGAUGAGCUAUG